Molecule: ribosomal RNA, 253 nt
Filed under: uncultured bacterium
Lineage: Bacteria
Description: partial 16S ribosomal RNA
Rfam family: Bacterial small subunit ribosomal RNA
Source: RNAcentral
UACGGAGGGUGCGAGCGUUGUCCGGAAUCACUGGGCGUAAAGGGCGCGUAGGCGGCCCGGUAAGUCGGGGGUGAAAUCUUGCGGCUUAACCGCAAGGCUGCCUUCUAAACUGCCAGGCUCGAGCACAGUAGAGGCAGGUGGAAUUCCCGGUGUAGCGGUGGAAUGCGUAGAGAUCGGGAAGAACAUCGGUGGCGAAGGCGGCCUGCUGGGCUGUUGCUGACGCUGAGGCGCGACAGCGUGGGGAGCAAACAGG